UGGUCGUGUUUGGAAAGAUUUUUCGGUCUGGGAUGGGCUCGCGGCCUAUCAGCUUGUUGGUGAGGUAAUGGCUCACCAAGGCGUCGACGGGUAGCCGGCCUGAGAGGGUGACCGGCCACACUGGGACUGAGACACGGCCCAGACUCCUACGGGAGGCAGCAGUGGGGAAUAUUGCACAAUGGGCGGAAGCCUGAUGCAGCAACGCCGCGUGAGGGAUGACGGCCUUCGGGUUGUAAACCUCUUUUAGCAGGGAAGAAGCGAAAGUGACGGUACCUGCAGAAAAAGCGCCGGCUAACUACGUGCCAGCAGCCGCGGUAAUACGUAGGGCGCAAGCGUUAUCCGGAAUUAUUGGGCGUAAAGAGCUCGUAGGCGGUUUGUCGCGUCUGCUGUGAAAUCCCGAGGCUCAACCUCGGGCCUGCAGUGGGUACGGGCAGACUAGAGUGCGGUAGGGGAGAUUGGAAUUCCUGGUGUAGCGGUGGAAUGCGCAGAUAUCAGGAGGAACACCGAUGGCGAAGGCAGAUCUCUGGGCCGUAACUGACGCUGA
RNAcentral lists this ribosomal RNA (544 nucleotides) under Microbacterium sp. 09WSH4-11. Its description in RNAcentral is "bacterial SSU rRNA". It matches the Rfam family "Bacterial small subunit ribosomal RNA", at positions 190 to 749 of the family's 1533-position model. Lineage: Bacteria; Bacillati; Actinomycetota; Actinomycetes; Micrococcales; Microbacteriaceae. RNAcentral also lists the same sequence under 1 other name. The record is from RNAcentral.